RNAcentral lists this ribosomal RNA (373 nucleotides) under uncultured organism. Its description in RNAcentral is "partial 16S ribosomal RNA". It matches the Rfam family "Bacterial small subunit ribosomal RNA", at positions 527 to 896 of the family's 1533-position model. The record is from RNAcentral.
GUAGGUGGCAAGCGUUGUCCGGAAUUAUUGGGCGUAAAGCGCGCGCAGGCGGUUCUUUAAGUCUGAUGUGAAAGCCCACGGGCUCAACCGUGGAGGGUCAUUGGAAACUGGAGAACUUGAGUACAGAAGAGGAAAGCGGAAUUCCACGUGUAGCGGUGAAAUGCGUAGAGAUGUGGAGGAACACCAGUGGCGAAGGCGGCUUUCUGGUCUGUAACUGACGCUGAGGCGCGAAAGCGUGGGGAGCAAACAGGAUUAGAUACCCUGGUAGUCCACGCCGUAAACGAUGAGUGCUAAGUGUUAGGGGGUUUCCGCCCCUUAGUGCUGCAGCUAACGCAUUAAGAACUCCGCCUGGGGAGUACGGCCGCAAAGGCUG